UAUCAAAACCGGACCCGAACUCACCCCUAUGACUCAUAAUGAUAAUAAAUGCAAUAAUAUUUUUUUUUGACAAAAUCUACAAAUGUCAAAUAAAUGCAAUAAGUUAUUUUGACAAAAUCUACAAAUUUAGCACAAAAUAUAUGGAAAUUAAUUAAUAGUAAGACUUUCCCAGAGACCAAAAAAUAUAUAUAUAGAGAGAGAGAGACCUCUCUCCACCCAUUGAAUUAAGAACAUUUUAUUUGUCAACGGAUCUCUCAUAAAAAAAAUAGUAUGGGUAUUAACAAAACUCUGAUAAAAUGUUUGUUCAUUGUGAUAUUAGCAGUUUCGAUGUUCAAUCACAAAGUUUUGACUUCAGGUGCAGAGAUCCAAAAAUUCUCAUAUGACCACUGUAAUACUUUGUGUUCGGAAACAUAUGGAUGGUUUGAGUGUCAACAUGACUGUUUUAGAGCUGGUUACACAGAUUUUGGAAGCUGUGCUUCCCGUUCUCCUAAAGAGCCUGAGCGAUGUUGUUGCCAAAACAAAUAGACUCAUCUUUUCUCUGAAAAUGGUGAUUUAACCUUUAAAAUCCUUAAACUAUUGCACUUGGUUUGUCUGUUGCAAUAAAUGGGACAAUAAAAAAAUAUGUUACAAUUA
Molecule: long non-coding RNA, 633 nt
Organism: Brassica napus (rape)
Lineage: Eukaryota; Viridiplantae; Streptophyta; Magnoliopsida; Brassicales; Brassicaceae
Exons: 2
Source: RefSeq, a predicted model, not a curated record